CAAAAAACAAAAAACAAACAAACAAACAAAAAAAAAACUUGUACAUGUAUUUCUUAUCCAAGUACUAACCAGUUCUGACCUUGCUUAGCUUCUAAAAUGAGAUAUACUGGUCACAUAUCUAAAGUGUACAAUUUGAUGUUUUGACAUAUGUGUAUGUACCUAGAAAGCCACUAUCACAAUUAAGGUGCUGAAUACCCCCAAAAUAUGUCCAUCUCCCACUGCUGUUACUUUUCCUCCAGUUGUUACAAUGCUGGGGACUUCUGGGAAAUUGAGGCAAUGUGAAGGUCCCUUUCACCCUGAUUCUUCUUUUUUUUUGGCACUGGGACCUAGGAGCACUUAGCCAUUGAGACCACAUCCCCAGCCCUUUUUGUGGGGUGCCAGAGAUUGAACUUGAGCAUUCAACCAUUGAGCCAUAUCCCCAUCCCUAUUUUGUAUUUUAUUUAGAGGCAGGGUCUCACUGAGUUGCUUAGUGCUUUGCCAUUGCUGAGGCUGGCUUUGAACUCAUGGUCUUCCUGCCUCACUCUCCCCAGCUGCCGUGAUUAAGGCCUGUGCCACCACACCUGGCCCCAGCCCUUUUUAUAUUUUAUUUUGAGACAGGGUCUCACCAAGUUGCUGAGGGCCUCACUAAGUUGCUGAAGCUGGCUUUGAACAUGCGAUUUUUCUGCCUCAGCCUCGGGAGCAGUUGGGAUUACAAGCAUGGACCACCAUGCCUGGCUCACCCUGAUUCUUUCAGUCAUGACAGAAAGAUUUCAGACAUGUCACUCAGAGUAACAGGCAUGAAUUUAUUAGAAGGAUUAGGAAAGGGGAAAAGGGGACACUGUCAAGGGAGACAGUAGGUCUUUUCAGAGAGAAAGACUGUGUACCUCUCUUGCCCUCAAAUUUUAUUGGGGUCCCAAGGAAGUUUCCAGAGAGUCCCACACAUGUCCAGACUUUCAACUAACAGAAGAUGACAUCAGACUUUCAAGUCCCCACUGCUGUGACAAUUCUAGGUCACUUUAGCCCAUGCUGACUGAUUCUAAUUGGAACCUGUUCUUAUGGAUUUUAUGGUUAGGGGGAAUUAUCUUUAUCUCCCUGAAUUUGGGGAUAUGGUCUGUGUAAGGAUUACAAAAGUCUCCCCUUUCAGCGUAACUUGUUUUCUUCUUAUCAGCAUUUUGGGGCCUGUAUUUCUCCUGCAAAUAAUAGGUAGUUUGCUGAGGAAUGUAACCUAUCCUGUGGACUUAAGGCAGGGCUUCAGGUAAAUUGCUUUUUAAAAAUGAAAGCAUGUGGGGGUCAGCAUAGUGGGCCCAAUAUACAUAAUUAUCCCCUUAACCUCAUGUUCCCACCAGUCUGUCUCCUAAUACAUCCCCCCUGUAAGCCUCCCCUGACUCCCCACUGCCUUCCCACACCAAACUGUUAAGUACUAUGACAGCUUUGGUCAUCAUAGUCCCACCCUGGAGACAACCCAGCUGUCCUUCAGUGAACACAAACAAAUUGUGGUGGACUGACACAUGCAACUACUCACAUUGAAUCCUGAAGGCAUUAUGCUUGGCACAGAGAGUGCCCAGUGUGGGAUUCCAUUUCCAUGAAACCCAAACGUCAGAAGUCAGAACUGUGGGUGCCUUUGGGGAUGGAGUUGUGGCUGAGGAUUGAACCCAGGGCCUCUUGCAUGUUAAGCAUGUGCUCUACCCUGAGCUGCAGCCCUGCCCCUGAGGGUGGGAGUAUUCACUGGCAAGAGGAGGGACCUUUCUGGGGAGAUGUAUGGUGGUUGCUCAGAUGUAUACACAGACAAAAAUCCAUUGCUUAAAAUUUGAGCAUUUUACCGCAUGUACCUUAC
This 1813-nucleotide long non-coding RNA is filed under the name Marmota monax (woodchuck). Lineage: Eukaryota; Metazoa; Chordata; Mammalia; Rodentia; Sciuridae. The record is from RNAcentral.